UAGGGAAUCUUCCGCAAUGGGCGAAAGCUUGACGGAGCAACGCCGCGUGAGUGAUGAAGGUCUUCGGAUCGUAAAACUCUUUUAUUAGGGAAGAACAAAUGUGUAAGUAACUAUGCACGUCUUGACGGUACCUAAUCAGAAAGCCACGGCUAACUACGUGCCAGCAGCCGCGGUAAUACGUAGGUGGCAAGCGUUAUCCGGAAUUAUUGGGCGUAAAGCGCGCGUAGGCGUUUUUUUAAGUCUGAUGUGAAAGCCCACGGCUCAACCGUGGAGGGUCAUUGGAAACUGGAAAACUUGAGUGCAGAAGAGGAAAGUGGAAUUCCAUGUGUAGCGGUGAAAUGCGCAGAGAUAUGGAGGAACACCAGUGGCGAAGGCGACUUUCUGGUCUGUAACUGACGCUGAUGUGCGAAAGCGUGGGGAUCAAACAGG
Molecule: ribosomal RNA, 429 nt
Filed under: Actinomycetes bacterium
Lineage: Bacteria; Bacillati; Actinomycetota; Actinomycetes
Description: Actinobacteria bacterium partial 16S ribosomal RNA
Rfam family: Bacterial small subunit ribosomal RNA
Source: RNAcentral